RNAcentral lists this ribosomal RNA (324 nucleotides) under Triticum aestivum (bread wheat). Its description in RNAcentral is "partial small subunit ribosomal RNA". The record is from RNAcentral. Lineage: Eukaryota; Viridiplantae; Streptophyta; Magnoliopsida; Poales; Poaceae.
AUGUUUGUAGAAGGAGAUGCGGCCCCUAGUGAAGGAGAUGUAUCCUCAACUUGUAUAGAUGCGUUUUUUUUUGCAGAGACCAAAAUGGCUGGAGAAGGAUAUGUGGCUGACAAUGAAACAGAGGGUUCUGCAAAUCCGAUCUCACGACGGAACUCAAAAAGGGCUGCUAAGCGGCAGCCGCAUGGAGAUGAUAAGGAUGGGAAUGGAGAGGGUGACGAUGGCGGCGAAAGAUUUCUCUUAGUAAAACUGCAGAGAAGAAAGGUGCAUGCGGAGGCAGUAUCCAAAGGGGUAGAUGCCAGAUCUUCUGCAGCAGCCGCUGAGUAA